UACGGGGGGGGCAAGCGUUGUUCGGAAUUACUGGGCGUAAAGGGCUCGUAGGUGGCCAACUCAGUCGGACGUGAAAUCCCUCGGCUUAACCGGGGAACUGCGUCCGAUACUGGAUGGCUUGAGAUCGGGAGAGGGAUGCGGAAUUCCAGGUGUAGCGGUGAAAUGCGUAGAUAUCUGGAGGAACACCGGUGGCGAAGGCGGCAUCCUGGACCGGUAUUGACGCUGAGGAGCGAAAGCCAGGGGAGCAAACGGG
Molecule: ribosomal RNA, 253 nt
Filed under: uncultured bacterium
Lineage: Bacteria
Description: partial 16S ribosomal RNA
Rfam family: Bacterial small subunit ribosomal RNA
Source: RNAcentral